RNAcentral lists this ribosomal RNA (406 nucleotides) under uncultured bacterium. Its description in RNAcentral is "partial 16S ribosomal RNA". It matches the Rfam family "Bacterial small subunit ribosomal RNA", at positions 355 to 752 of the family's 1533-position model. The record is from RNAcentral.
UGGGGAAUUUUGGACAAUGGGCGCAAGCCUGAUCCAGCCAUGCCGCGUGCGGGAAGAAGGCCUUCGGGUUGUAAACCGCUUUUGUCAGGGAAGAAAUCUUCUGAGUUAAUACCUCGGGAGGAUGACGGUACCUGAAGAAUAAGCACCGGCUAACUACGUGCCAGCAGCCGCGGUAAUACGUAGGGUGCAAGCGUUAAUCGGAAUUACUGGGCGUAAAGCGUGCGCAGGCGGUUUUGUAAGACAGAGGUGAAAUCCCCGGGCUCAACCUGGGAACUGCCUUUGUGACUGCAAGGCUUGAGUGCGGCAGAGGGGGGAUGGAAUUCCGCGUGUAGCAGUGAAAUGCGUAGAUAUGCGGAGGAACACCGAUGGCGAAGGCAAUCCCCUGGGCCUGCACUGACGCUCAUGC